CCUACGGGCGGCUGCAGUGGGGAAUCUUCCGCAAUGGGCGCAAGCCUGACGGAGCGAUGCCGCGUGAGGGAAGAAGGCCUUCGGGUCGUAAACCUCUGUCACCCGGGACGAAACAAAUGACGGUACCGGGAAAGGAAGCCACGGCUAACCACGUGCCAGCAGCCGCGGUAACACGUGGGUGGCGAGCGUUAUUCGGAUUUACUGGGCGUAAAGGGUCCGCAGGGGGCCUGCCACGCCCGCCGUGAAAUUUCAGGGCUCAACCCUGAACCUGCGGCGGGUACGGGCGGGCUGGAGUGCAGGAUGGGCAGACGGAAUUCCAGGUGUAGCGGUGGAAUGCGUAGAUAUCUGGAAGAACACCGAUGGCGAAGGCGGUCUGCUGGCCUGCAACUGACCCUCAGGGACGAAAGCGUGGGUAGCAAACAGGAUUAGAUACCCCGGUAGUC
This 443-nucleotide ribosomal RNA is filed under the name uncultured bacterium. Its description in RNAcentral is "bacterial SSU rRNA". It matches the Rfam family "Bacterial small subunit ribosomal RNA", at positions 338 to 795 of the family's 1533-position model. The record is from RNAcentral.